AUUGAACGCUGGCGGCAGGCCUAACACAUGCAAGUCGAACGGUAACAGGAAGAAGCUUGCUUCUUUGCUGACGAGUGGCGGACGGGUGAGUAAUGUCUGGGAAACUGCCUGAUGGAGGGGGAUAACUACUGGAAACGGUAGCUAAUACCGCAUAACGUCGCAAGACCAAAGAGGGGGACCUUCGGGCCUCUUGCCAUCGGAUGUGCCCAGAUGGGAUUAGCUAGUAGGUGGGGUAACGGCUCACCUAGGCGACGAUCCCAAGCUGGUCUGAGAGGAUGACCAGCCACACUGGAACUGAGACACGGUCCAGACUCCUACGGGAGGCAGCAGUGGGGAAUAUUGCACAAUGGGCGCAAGCCUGAUGCAGCCAUGCCGCGUGUAUGAAGAAGGCCUUCGGGUUGUAAAGUACUUUCAGCGGGGAGGAAGGGAGUAAAGUUAAUACCUUUGCUCAUUGACGUUACCCGCAGAAGAAGCACCGGCUAACUCCGUG
Molecule: ribosomal RNA, 490 nt
Filed under: uncultured bacterium
Lineage: Bacteria
Description: partial 16S ribosomal RNA
Rfam family: Bacterial small subunit ribosomal RNA
Source: RNAcentral